GAUGAAGAACGCAGCGAAAUGCGAUAAGUAAUGUGAAUUGCAGAAUUCAGUGAAUCAUCGAAUCUUUGAACGCACAUUGCGCCCGCCAGUAUUCUGGCGGGCAUGCCUGUCUGAGCGUCAUUUCAACCCUCAUGCCCCUAGGGCGUGGUGUUGGGGCUCGGCCAAAGCCCGCGAGGGACGGCCGGCCCCUAAAUCUAGUGGCGGACCCGUCGUGGCCUCCUCUGCGAAGUAGUGAUAUUCCGCAUCGGAGAGCGACGAGCCCCUGCCGUUAAACCCCCAACUUUCCAAGGUUGACCUCAGAUCAGGUAGGAAUACCCGCUGAACUUAAGCAUAUCAAUAAGCGGAGGA
RNAcentral lists this unclassified non-coding RNA (348 nucleotides) under soil metagenome. Its description in RNAcentral is "partial contains 5.8S ribosomal RNA, internal transcribed spacer 2, and large subunit ribosomal RNA". The stretch from base 1 to 120 matches the Rfam family "5.8S ribosomal RNA", at positions 35 to 154 of the family's 154-position model. The record is from RNAcentral.